UUUUUUUUUUUUAGAGAUAGGUAGCACGCUACCCGUUUCGUUUAUUUUAUUUAGAAAUAAACUUAGAUAGAAAUGUGAAUCAACUAGGAUUCGAACUUGGGUCUCGAGUACCAACCAUCAAGCCCUUUGCCACUUGCUCUAGGAACAGUCGGUGUGACUAAUAAAUUUCAAAUGAUGUAAUUAGAUCAUCAUGAUGAAUAACGAUACAAUAUUUCUGCUGUAUAAAAGAAUUAUAAAAUAUGUAU
Molecule: long non-coding RNA, 245 nt
Filed under: Ananas comosus (pineapple)
Lineage: Eukaryota; Viridiplantae; Streptophyta; Magnoliopsida; Poales; Bromeliaceae
Description: long non-coding RNA (ACOM_LNC029728)
Source: RNAcentral